CUACACGAUAAAUCUUACCACUUCUUGUAUAUUCAUUACUUAAUUUUACUGCUAUUAUUAGUACUAAUGGUUUCUAACGUUCAGGGUUCUAAGUUGAUUUAUUCUUCUUACGUUCUCUUAUUGUAAGAUGCCUGUGUGUUGAUAUUUAGUGUAUUCUUAUCAUGAUUACAGGUGUUGCAUGGCUGUCUUUAGUUCGUGUUGUGAAAUGUUAGGUUAAUUCCGAAAACGAACGCAACCCUUCUCUUUAAUUAUCUGUUGUUUCUUGUUGUUAUAACUUUACACUUGAAUUUAUUAAAGAUAUGUCUGCCGAUAUGGUGGAACAAUUAGGAUGAAGACAAGUCCUCAUGACCCUUAUGAAGU
Molecule: ribosomal RNA, 360 nt
Filed under: Pneumocystis carinii
Lineage: Eukaryota; Fungi; Ascomycota; Pneumocystomycetes; Pneumocystales; Pneumocystaceae
Description: SSU rRNA
Rfam family: Bacterial small subunit ribosomal RNA (bases 170-351)
Source: RNAcentral